CACGUAGGGUGCGAGCGUUGUCCGGAAUUAUUGGGCGUAAAGAGCUCGUAGGCGGUGUGUCGCGUCGGCCGUGAAAACCUGCAGCUUAACUGUGGGCUUGCGGUCGAUACGGGCAUCACUGGAGUUCGGCAGGGGAGACUGGAAUUCCUGGUGUAGCGGUGGAAUGCGCAGAUAUCAGGAGGAACACCGGUGGCGAAGGCGGGUCUCUGGGCCGUUACUGACGCUGAGGAGCGAAAGCGUGGGGAGCGAACAGG
This 254-nucleotide ribosomal RNA is filed under the name uncultured bacterium. RNAcentral's name for it is "partial 16S ribosomal RNA". It matches the Rfam family "Bacterial small subunit ribosomal RNA", at positions 524 to 776 of the family's 1533-position model. The record is from RNAcentral.